UGGGGAAUAUUGCACAAUGGAGGGAACUCUGAUGCAGCGACGCCGCGUGAGUGAUGAAGGAAUUCGUUUCGUAAAACUCUGUUCUAUGGGAAGAAAAGGACUGUACCAUAGGAGAAAGCUCCGGCUAAAUACGUGCCAGCAGCCGCGGUAAUACGUAUGGAGCGAGCGUUGUCCGGAAUUAUUGGGCGUAAAGGGUGCGCAGGCGGCUUUACAAGUUGGAUGUGAAAUAUUGUGGCUCAACCACAAACGUGCAUCCAAGACUGCAAAGCUUGAGUUAAGGAGAGGUAAGUGGAAUUCCUGGUGUAGCGGUGGAAUGCGUAGAUAUCAGGAGGAAUACCGGUGGCGAAGGCGACUUACUGGACUUAAACUGACGCUCAGGCACGAAAGCGUGGGGAGCAAACAGG
RNAcentral lists this ribosomal RNA (404 nucleotides) under Fusobacteriota bacterium. RNAcentral describes it as "Fusobacteria bacterium partial 16S ribosomal RNA". It matches the Rfam family "Bacterial small subunit ribosomal RNA", at positions 355 to 776 of the family's 1533-position model. Lineage: Bacteria; Fusobacteriati; Fusobacteriota. The record is from RNAcentral.